This is a non-coding RNA of Hypomesus transpacificus, 1205 nucleotides long. NCBI's taxonomy places the organism in Eukaryota, Metazoa, Chordata, Actinopteri, Osmeriformes, Osmeridae. The record is from the annotation of a RefSeq genome assembly.
UCACCAGUUUUGAUCCAGGGCCAGAACUCUGCUCAGCUAUGAGGAGAGGAGGAGCUUCCUGAUGCAACACCACAUCAGAUGAUGCAGGCCUCUGUAGUGCUGCCCACCUCUUUCACUCACACACAUACAGGAGACUUGUCAUGUGACCCCCCUCACACAGGGACCUGGUCAUGUGACCUCCAUGACAGCAUCCUCAUUGCAGUCUUGUACCUCUGCACUCAGACUGUAAGCUGGGAGCCAACAACUAUGUUAACGUGGCUGAUCCUGUCUCUGCCAACACUGGGCUUGUCCCUGAAGCAGCCCCCUGUGGUGGUGGUUGAGGAGAGGCAACCUGUGAGACUCCCCUGUGACCAGGAGAACACCCCCAAAUCUGUCAUGAUCUGGUACCAGCAGAGGGGAAGCACCUUGCAGCUGCUGCUGUGGUCCUCUGGACAGAACGUGGAGGUGGAGGCCCAAGGUCUGAUCCAGGGCUUCAGGGGGGACAGGAAGGGCUCCUCUCUGGCUCUGCACCUGGAGAAGUCUCAACUCUCUCACAGCGCUCUUUACUACUGUGCUGUCAAGUCUCUACACAGUGACAGAUCCACACCUGCAGCCAUGACAAAAACCUCCCACAGUCAGCCAACCAGAAAACUAACCAACUAACCACCCAACCAGCAAAGAGACAGACUACCAGGAAACCAACCAAUCAGCCUCUAAGCCAGACAGCCAAUCAGCUCACCAGCCAGUAAAACAACCAGCUAACCAGGAAACCAGCCUUUCAGGAAAUCAACCAACUGGCCAAUCAGACAGACAGCCUUUCAGGAAUCCAGCCAAGAAACCAACGAACCUGCCAGCCAGAAACCAAUAAGACAGCCAAGAAAACAGCCAGCCAACAAGCCAGCCAGGAAGCAUUAACCCCGAGGAGGGGUUAGGCUCUGGGGGUGUGGUGUCUGUGGGUUGAGGCAGGGUGAGUGUUGAGGCAUCCUCUAGGUGUUCCAGAGACCACAGCAGCAUCACACAACUCCAGCAGUCAGUCUAUCUGUGAGCUUGAACAACUAGUGUCUCUGAGAGGUAAUCUCUCUGAAUAUGGCUCUGAAAAUGGUUGCCAUGUGCCUUCUUCUCCAGCUUCUGCCACUAGGUUCUGGGGUGAAACAGCCCCCCGACGUGCUCGUGGCUGAGGGCCUGAAUACGACCCUGCGCUGCUCCCAGAUCAGCACCUCCUACAA